GAUGAAGAACGCAGCGAAAUGCGAUACGUAAUGUGAAUUGCAGAAUUCAGUGAAUCAUCGAGUCUUUGAACGCACAUUGCGCCCCCUGGUAUUCCGGGGGGCAUGCCUGUCCGAGCGUCAUUGCUGCCCUCAAGCACGGCUUGUGUGUUGGGCCUCCGUCCUCCCCCCGGGGGACGGGCCCGAAAGGCAGCGGCGGCACCGCGUCCGGUCCUCGAGCGUAUGGGGCUUCGUCACCCGCUCUUGUAGGCCCGGCCGGCGCUUGCCGACACAUCAAUCUUUUUUCCAGGUUGACCUCGGAUCAGGUAGGGAUACCCGCUGAACUUAAGCAUAUCAAUAAGCGGAGGA
Molecule: unclassified non-coding RNA, 345 nt
Filed under: soil metagenome
Description: partial contains 5.8S ribosomal RNA, internal transcribed spacer 2, and large subunit ribosomal RNA
Rfam family: 5.8S ribosomal RNA (bases 1-120)
Source: RNAcentral